Molecule: ribosomal RNA, 804 nt
Filed under: uncultured bacterium
Lineage: Bacteria
Description: bacterial SSU rRNA
Rfam family: Bacterial small subunit ribosomal RNA
Source: RNAcentral
GAAUUCGCCCUUAGAGUUUGAUCCUGGCUCAGGAUGAACGCUGGCGGCGUGCCUAACACAUUCAAGUCGAACGAAUUUAGACUGAAGCUUGCUUUGGUCUAAGUUAGUGGCGGACGGGUGAGUAACGCGUGAGCAACCUGCCUGUGUGAGUGGAAUAACAGUUGGAAACGGCUGCUAAUACCGCAUAACACAUAGAGACCGCAUGGUCAUUAUGUCAAAGAUUUAUCGCACACAGAUGGGCUCGCGUUGGAUUAGAUAGUUGGUGAGGUAAUGGCUCACCAAGUCUGCGAUCCAUAGCCGGACUGAGAGGUUGAACGGCCACAUUGGAACUGAGAAACGGUCCAGACUCCUACGGGAGGCAGCAGUGGGGAAUAUUGGGCAAUGGGGGAAACCCUGACCCAGCGACGCCGCGUGAGGGAAGACGGUCUUCGGAUUGUAAACCUCUUUCAGCAAGGAAGAUAGUGACGGUACUUGCAGAAGAAGCCACGGCUAACUACGUGCCAGCAGCCGCGGUAAUACGUAGGUGGCAAGCGUUAUCCGGAAUUAUUGGGUGUAAAGGGUGUGUAGGCGGGAUUGCAAGUCAGAGGUGAAAAUUAUGGGCUCAACCCAUAACCUGCCUUUGAAACUGCAGUUCUUGAGAGUGGGAGAGGUAAGUGGAAUUCCCGGUGUAGCGGUGGAAUGCGUAGAUAUCGGGAGGAACACCAGUGGCGAAGGCGACUUACUGGACCAUUACUGACGCUGAGACACGAAAGCGUGGGGAGCAAACAGGAUUAGAUACCCUGGUAGUCCACGCCGUAAACGAUG